Molecule: ribosomal RNA, 807 nt
Filed under: uncultured euryarchaeote
Lineage: Archaea; Methanobacteriati; Methanobacteriota
Description: bacterial SSU rRNA
Rfam family: Archaeal small subunit ribosomal RNA
Source: RNAcentral
UGCUAGUCGCACGAGUUUAGACUCGUGGCAGAUAGCUCAGUAACACGUGGCCAAACUACCCUGUCGAUCGGGACACCCUCGGGAAACUGAGGCUAAUCCCGGAUACGGCUCGCUGCCUGGAGUUGGCGCGAGCUCGAAACGUUCAGGCGCGACAGGAUGUGGCUGCGGCCGAUUAGGUAGACGGUGGGGUAACGGCCCACCGUGCCGAUAAUCGGUACGGGUUGUGAAAGCAAGAGCCCGGAGACGGAAUCUGAGACAAGAUUCCGGGCCCUACGGGGCGCAGCAGGCGCGAAACCUUUACACUGCACGCGAGUGCGAUAGGGGGACUCCAAGUGCGAGGGCAUACAGUCCUCGCUUUUUGCGACCGUAAGGAGGUCGCGGAAUAAGUGCUGGGCAAGACCGGUGCCAGCCGCCGCGGUAAUACCGGCAGCACGAGUGAUGACCGCUAUUAUUGGGCCUAAAGCGUCCGUAGCCGGCCAGGCAAGUCCAUCGGGAAAUCCGCACGCCUAACGUGCGGGCGUCCGGUGGAAACUGCUUGGCUUGGGACCGGAAGAUCCAGAGGGUACGUCCGGGGUAGGAGUGAAAUCCCGUAAUCCUGGACGGACCACCGGUGGCGAAAGCGCUCUGGAAAGACGGAUCCGACGGUGAGGGACGAAAGCUUGGGUCACGAACCGGAUUAGAUACCCGGGUAGUCCAAGCUGUAAACGAUGUCUGCUAGGUGUGGCACAGGCUACGAGCCUGUGCUGUGCCGUAGGGAAGCCGUGAAGCAGACCGCCUGGGAAGUACGUCUGCAAGGAUGAAACUUAA